This 497-nucleotide ribosomal RNA is filed under the name uncultured bacterium. RNAcentral's name for it is "partial 16S ribosomal RNA". It matches the Rfam family "Bacterial small subunit ribosomal RNA", at positions 28 to 507 of the family's 1533-position model. The record is from RNAcentral.
GAUGAACGCUGGCGGCGUGCCUAAUACAUGCAAGUCGAGCGAACAGACGAGGAGCUUGCUCCUCUGACGUUAGCGGCGGACGGGUGAGUAACACGUGGAUAACCUACCUAUAAGACUGGGAUAACUUCGGGAAACCGGAGCUAAUACCGGAUAAUAUAUUGAACCGCAUGGUUCAAUAGUGAAAGACGGUUUUGCUGUCACUUAUAGAUGGAUCCGCGCCGCAUUAGCUAGUUGGUAAGGUAACGGCUUACCAAGGCAACGAUGCGUAGCCGACCUGAGAGGGUGAUCAGCCACACUGGAACUUAGACACGGUCCAUACUCCUACGGGAGGCAGCAGUAGGGAAUCUUCCGCAAUGGGCGAGAGCUUGACGGAGCAACGCCGCGUGAGUGAUGAAGGUCUUCGGAUCGUAAAACUCUGUUAUUAGGGAAGAACAAAUGUGUAAGUAACUAUGCACGUCUUGACGGUACCUAAUCAGAAAGCCACGGCUAACUACGUG